GGAAUAAACACAGUUUGUGGAAGAUUGCACCAGAGAGGGGGAUGAUCGAUAGAGAGAGACCGUCAGCGCUGCCCUGUUAGAGAGGCGGGGAGAGAGAGAGAGAGAGAGAGAGAACACUCUCGGAUUCUGCAACAGGUCAGUCUGAGUCAACCUGAGCUUUCAUUGAGCGACUGCAGCCUCAGGGAGACGUGAGAGAUUGCGACCUGAGGGGAAAGUUCAAAUCCCAGGAACUCUGCGAGGAUCCCCGGUUGUUCGUGGAUGGGAUCAGCUCGCAGGAUCUGAACCAGGGGAGUCUGGGAAACUGCUGGUUUGUGGCGGCCUGUUCCUGCCUGGCAACAGAGCCCUCGCUAUGGAAAAAGGUGAUCCCGGAUCAUGGGGGUCAGGAAUGGGAUCCGAAGCGACCGGGGGACUACGCUGGGAUCUUCCAUUUCCGUUUC
This is a non-coding RNA of Chiloscyllium plagiosum (whitespotted bambooshark), 437 nucleotides long. The record is from RefSeq and is a predicted model, not a curated record. Lineage: Eukaryota; Metazoa; Chordata; Chondrichthyes; Orectolobiformes; Hemiscylliidae.